RNAcentral lists this unclassified non-coding RNA (204 nucleotides) under soil metagenome. RNAcentral's name for it is "partial contains 5.8S ribosomal RNA, internal transcribed spacer 2, and large subunit ribosomal RNA". The record is from RNAcentral.
AACAAGGCGUACCUGCGGACCUGCGGAAGGAUCAUUACCGAGUGUGGUCCCAUAAGGGGCGCCUCCCGUCCUUUGCAGGGCCUUUAGGGGCUUUUUGACUUUGCUUCGGCGGGCUUGUCCCGCCGGAACACCCUCAAGAAAAUCUUUAUGAACCGUUUGUCUGAGUUCGCUUGCGAAUAAAACAAAACUUUCAACAACGGAUCU